ACUCCUACGGGAGGCAGCAGUGGGGAAUCUUGGACAAUGGGGGCAACCCUGAUCCAGCCAUGCCGCGUGAGUGAUGAAGGCCUUAGGGUCGUAAAGCUCUUUCGCCUGUGAAGAUAAUGACGGUAGCAGGUAAAGAAACCCCGGCUAACUCCGUGCCAGCAGCCGCGGUAAUACGGAGGGGGUUAGCGUUGUUCGGAAUUACUGGGGCGUAAAGCGCACGUAGGCGGAUCGGAAAGUUGGGGGUGAAAUCCCGGGGGCUCAACCCCGGAACUGCCUCCAAAACUAUCGGUCUAGAGUUCGAGAGAGGUGAGUGGAAUUCCGAGUGUAGAGGUGAAAUUCGUAGAUAUUCGGAGGAACACCAGUGGCGAAGGCGGCUCACUGGCUCGAUACUGACGCUGAGGUGCGAAAGUGUGGGGAGCAAACAGGAUUAGAUA
RNAcentral lists this ribosomal RNA (434 nucleotides) under uncultured bacterium. Its description in RNAcentral is "bacterial SSU rRNA". It matches the Rfam family "Bacterial small subunit ribosomal RNA", at positions 335 to 784 of the family's 1533-position model. The record is from RNAcentral.